CAAAAUAAAAACAGCUGUGAAGAGAGCCCGUGAAAAGGACAAGAGUCCUCCUCAUGCUUGCCUUUCAGCCCUCCAGCUUUUGGAGACACUCGGCCACUUCAGUUGCUUUCCCUCCCCCGCUUCCCUUUUCGGCUUGCCAGGGAACACGAUACCUGCCACCCGGCAUAGGCUUCCAUCCCCUGACGCCCAAGGAAACCACCCAGGUCCUGAUUAGGGCCGGCCCUCUGGCUCCGCACGGGUGUCUGUCAUUUCAGAUGGGCUCUGUGGCGGGACCAAUCACACAGAUGCGAGCCACAGGGAUGCCAGAGAGUCUAUUUUCAAGAGACUGGUCUGGGAGCAAGUCACAGACAAAACCAGAGAACACAACCCAUCGCCCCAGAACGCCACUUUUCAGCUCCCGAUGGGUUUGGCCUCGAUCCUCCCUGUUUUUGUGGUCCAGGAGAGAUGCCCACAUACUGGGGGGUGGAGGAGCUGGACGAGGAGCAUUUCAGACUGAGCUCCUUCUCAGCAAGCUUCUAGAAGCUGUUUGCUUUCUUCCGUCUUUUGAAAAUACAGCCAUGCAGGCCCAGAGGCAACCCUCUGCUGACUAUGGGACUCAGGGGCCUGUCCCUGGCUGGGCCGAGGACCCAGAGCUGGCCCAGGAAAGGAGAGAGCGGUGCAGACAUCCAGCCUCAAAUGCUCUCUGGGACGAGGAGGGAGGACCAG
RNAcentral lists this long non-coding RNA (705 nucleotides) under Felis catus (domestic cat). Its description in RNAcentral is "lncRNA (ENSFCAG00000045124.2)". The record is from RNAcentral. Lineage: Eukaryota; Metazoa; Chordata; Mammalia; Carnivora; Felidae.